AUUGAACGCUGGCGGCAUGCCUUACACAUGCAAGUCGAACGGCAGCGGACCUUCGGGUGCCGGCGAGUGGCGAACGGGUGAGUAAUAUAUCGGAACGUACCUUUCAGUGGGGGAUAACGUAGCGAAAGUUACGCUAAUACCGCAUAUUCUGUGAGCAGGAAAGCAGGGGAUCGCAAGACCUUGCGCUGAUUGAGCGGCCGAUAUCAGAUUAGCUAGUUGGUGAGGUAAAGGCUCACCAAGGCGACGAUCUGUAGCGGGUCUGAGAGGAUGAUCCGCCACACUGGAACUGAGACACGGUCCAGACUCCUACGGGAGGCAGCAGUGGGGAAUUUUGGACAAUGGGCGCAAGCCUGAUCCAGCCAUGCCGCGUGAUAGAUGAAGGCCCUCUGGGUUGUAAAUAUCUUUUAUCUGGGAAGAAACUCCUCUAUUCUUAGAGGCCUGACGGUACCAGAGGAAUAAGCACCGGCUAACUCCGUG
Molecule: ribosomal RNA, 477 nt
Filed under: uncultured bacterium
Lineage: Bacteria
Description: bacterial SSU rRNA
Rfam family: Bacterial small subunit ribosomal RNA
Source: RNAcentral